GAGUGUGAGAGCGAGAACAGCCCCGCAGGUCCCGAGGCGCUGGCUGGGGACAAUGCCGCGGAAAGUUCCCAGUCCCCAGCCGCAGAUCUGCAGAAUUGAAAUGAAAUGUUUUGAGCUCUUCAAGCUGACUCGUCAGAAUCCUGGAGCCUUUUAAAAAAUGACGAAUUGGAAGGAAAAAUUACUUUAUCAAUAACCAGGCUCCACCAGGAUUGACCUAGAUGGUUGUUCCUGGCACUUGUCAUUCUCAGCAAGCACAGCUCAGAGAACAAAUACAAAAGACCCAAAGUGCAUUGCAUCUUUUAUGGAAGUGCCCAAUGUGGAAAUCAUAGAUUUCAAGGAAGGAACAAGAAAAUUGAUGAAACAAGUUCAAAAGAAAGGUACCUGUGCCUCAUCAUUCCUAAAGAACACUGAUCAAUGAUCCCAGAAGUAUGCCAUGUUCUCUUAAUUCAUCAGAGACUGAAAGCAAAGGAAAAUCAAGAAAUGUCAUGAUGUCAUACUAAGAAGAAACCACCUGAGAUGAGACUGUUAGAUGUUCAGAGCAAACAAAAACAAAAACAGACCAACAAAAAAAACCCAAAACAAAACAGAAGUUUCUGAAGGACAGCAGAAAUGGCUUUGCAGGACCACAACAACCACUCCCAGUCAUGAUGGAGAGAAGUGUUCAAUACCCACAGAUCCUGAACGUUGAGCUGAUUAUACUAACUAGAUGGGACUUAGUUUUGUCUACCGUGGGGUGAGCGUAUACUACCUGAGGGAACAGGUUCUCUAUGGUGAAGAUGGCAACUUGCUGACUCAGUCUCAGAAUGCGUUAAAUCCACAUAUUCUGAAGUCCUCAGCAGAGUGAAACUUCAUAUAUAAUAUUUUCUACAGACAAAGUUACCAUCAAUAUCAACAGCAACAACACGGCAACAGCCAACAUUUACAGAACUUUUAUUAAGUUCCAGUCACCGUAUGUGCCUGCUUCCCCUUUGCCUUCCACCAUCAUUAUAAGUUUCCUGAGGCCACCACUGCCAUGCUUCCUGUACAGACUGUGGGACUCCAUGUAAGAUGUUCCUGCUUCCCCUUUGCCUUCUACCAUGAUUGUAACUUUCCUGAGGCCUUCCCAGCCAUG
This 1111-nucleotide long non-coding RNA is filed under the name Homo sapiens (human). Its description in RNAcentral is "non-protein coding lnc-PABPC4L-5:6". Lineage: Eukaryota; Metazoa; Chordata; Mammalia; Primates; Hominidae. The record is from RNAcentral.